Molecule: ribosomal RNA, 253 nt
Filed under: uncultured bacterium
Lineage: Bacteria
Description: partial 16S ribosomal RNA
Rfam family: Bacterial small subunit ribosomal RNA
Source: RNAcentral
UACGUAGGGCGCAAGCGUUGUCCGGAAUUAUUGGGCGUAAAGAGCUCGUAGGCGGUCUGUCGCGUCUGCCGUGAAAACCCGAGGCUUAACCUCGGGCUGGCGGUGGAUACGGGCAGACUAGAGGUAGGUAGGGGAGAAUGGAAUUCCCGGUGUAGCGGUGAAAUGCGCAGAUAUCGGGAGGAACACCGGUGGCAAAGGCGGUUCUCUGGGCCUUACCUGACGCUGAGGAGCGAAAGCAUGGGGAGCGAACAGG